GGUGUGGGGGACAUUCCACGUUUUCCGCGCCGUAGCUAACGCAUUAAGUGCCCCGCCUGGGGAGUACGGCCGCAAGGCUAAAACUCAAAGGAAUUGACGGGGGCCCGCACAAGCGGCGGAGCAUGCGGAUUAAUUCGAUGCAACGCGAAGAACCUUACCAAGGCUUGACAUACACCGGACCGCCCUAGAGAUAGGGUUUCCCUUCGGGGCUGGUGUACAGGUGGUGCAUGGUUGUCGUCAGCUCGUGUCGUGAGAUGUUGGGUUAAGUCCCGCAACGAGCGCAACCCUUGUCCUAUGUUGCCAGCACGUAAUGGUGGGGACUCAUGGGAGACUGCCGGGGUCAACUCGGAGGAAGGUGGGGAUGACGUCAAAUCAUCAUGCCCCUUAUGUCUUGGGCUUCACGCAUGCUACAAUGGCCGGUACAGUGGGUUGCGAUACUGUGAGGUGGAGCUAAUCCCUAAAAGCCGGUCUCAGUUCGGAUCGAAGUCUGCAACUCGACUUCGUGAAGUUGGAGUCGCUAGUAAUCGCAGAUCAGCAAUGCUGCGGUGAAUACGUUCCCGGGCCUUGUACACACCGCCCGUCAAGUCACGAAAGUUGGUAACACCCGAAGCCGGUGGCCCAACCCUUGUGGGGGGAGCCGUCGAAGGUGGGGCU
Molecule: ribosomal RNA, 654 nt
Filed under: uncultured bacterium
Lineage: Bacteria
Description: bacterial SSU rRNA
Rfam family: Bacterial small subunit ribosomal RNA
Source: RNAcentral